This 72-nucleotide transfer RNA is filed under the name Patescibacteria group bacterium. RNAcentral's name for it is "tRNA-Asn". It matches the Rfam family "tRNA". From Rfam's summary of the family: Transfer RNA (tRNA) molecules are approximately 80 nucleotides in length. The record is from RNAcentral.
UCCGGGAUAGCUCAGCGGUAGAGCGAUCGCCUGUUAAGCGAUUGGUCGCAGGUUCGAUCCCUGCUCCCGGAG